UACGGAGGGUGCGAGCGUUGUCCGGAAUCAUUGGGCGUAAAGCGCACGUAGGCGGUCCGUUAAGUCUCUUGGCGAAAGGCUGGGGCUCAACCCUAUGCAUGCCGGGGAUAGUGGGGGACUGGAGACAGGUAGAGGCGAGCGGAAUUCCGGGUGUAGCGGUGGAAUGCGUAGAGAUCCGGAAGAACACCGGAGGCGAAGGCGGCUCGCUGGACCUGAUCUGACGCUGAGGUGCGAAAGCGUGGGGAGCGAACAGG
This 254-nucleotide ribosomal RNA is filed under the name uncultured bacterium. RNAcentral's name for it is "partial 16S ribosomal RNA". It matches the Rfam family "Bacterial small subunit ribosomal RNA", at positions 524 to 776 of the family's 1533-position model. The record is from RNAcentral.